AAAAUGGAUAAAGCUCGAUUGCACUAUAAAGCCCCAAAAAUAGGUAGCAAGAAUGUACAAAAAUGUUCCAGAAAUUACAACAAAUGAGUCGCUACGACUCAUCUUUUCUAUAACCACAAAAAUUUGUCGUUAUUGCACAAAGAAACUAGCCGAGAUCACACAGAUCUCACCAAACAGAACUGCCCCCUCUCACAUAACGACUACAAGUGAUUCUUUCACAUCCAGUAAUGUUCCAUCAAGGAAUCCAACAAAUCAGCCAUUACAGCUUACAACAAGAGGCCGAAAAUCACUAAGAUUUCACAAAAAAAUCAGCCAAAAACGAGUCACAUAGAUUCGACUCAACAAAGGCUAAAAUAUCACAACACCCAUAUGGAUCUAGAGUAUUUCAUGUUGUUGAUUGAUAUUAUUUUUAGAAAAAUGCUCCAAAAAUCAAGCCCUAAUUUCACUAAGACGAAAGAGAGUUUUUCGCACAAAAUGGAGAGAGAAGGAAGAAGGGGCCAAAGUCUGAGAGAGUGAGACGUGAGAGAGAGAGAGUGUGA
RNAcentral lists this long non-coding RNA (539 nucleotides) under Olea europaea (common olive). Its description in RNAcentral is "long non-coding RNA (OEUR_LNC003688)". The record is from RNAcentral. Lineage: Eukaryota; Viridiplantae; Streptophyta; Magnoliopsida; Lamiales; Oleaceae.